RNAcentral lists this ribosomal RNA (457 nucleotides) under uncultured bacterium. RNAcentral's name for it is "bacterial SSU rRNA". It matches the Rfam family "Bacterial small subunit ribosomal RNA", at positions 340 to 786 of the family's 1533-position model. The record is from RNAcentral.
UACGGAAGGCAGCAGUGGGGAAUAUUGCACAAUGGGCGCAAGCCUGAUGCAGCCAUGCCGCGUGUAUGAAGAAGGCCUUCGGGUUGUAAAGUACUUUCAGCGGGGAGGAAGGCGGUGAAGUUAAUAGCUUCACCGAUUGACGUUACCCGCAGAAGAAGCACCGGCUAACUCCGUGCCAGCAGCCGCGGUAAUACGGAGGGUGCAAGCGUUAAUCGGAAUUACUGGGCGUAAAGCGCACGCAGGCGGUCUGUCAAGUCGGAUGUGAAAUCCCCGGGCUUAACCUGGGAACUGCAUUCGAAACUGGCAGGCUAGAGUCUUGUAGAGGGGGUAGAAUUCCAGGUGUAGCGGUGAAAUGCGUAGAGAUCUGGAGGAAUACCGGUGGCGAAGGCGGCCCCUGGGACAAAGACUGACGCUCAGGGUGCGAAAGCGUGGGGAGCGAAACAGGGAUUAGGAUACC